RNAcentral lists this unclassified non-coding RNA (1703 nucleotides) under Polistes fuscatus (common paper wasp). RNAcentral's name for it is "fGFR1 oncogene partner 2 homolog, transcript variant X1". Lineage: Eukaryota; Metazoa; Arthropoda; Insecta; Hymenoptera; Vespidae. The record is from RNAcentral.
GAAAUAAUUAAAAUCAAGUAAUGUGGAGACAAGAUUAAUAAAAUAGAUAAAUGACCCGUUCGGAAUAAACAGAACCGUGUGUUGUGAUAUUAGAAAAGUGGGGAAGUGAUACAGUUCUUUGUUAGUAUUGGAUAAACGUGAGAAGGUGUUCGUAGGAAGUGACCGGUCUCAUAAAUCAGGAAAGUGAAAAAACAACCGUAUAUGUAUAUUUGUUUUAAAACGUGAUCAGUGCACGCCACAUAGUAUUUGAAAUUUAUUUAUUAUUUAUUCAUAAAAAUUAUGGAUUUUGUAUUAUACCAGUGAUAUUACGUUAAUACUUUGUAAAUAGUCUAUUGAAGAAAUGCCGGUGAAUGUGUUACGUUAAUUACGCGUUCAAAGUUUUCGAACAAAGACCAGUGUUGAACGAAAAAAUUUGGUUAUACGUGUGGUCUUCAUAGUGUUAAUUAAUAAAUAAUAUCGUAAACAACGAACAUCGAGGUCCAGCUUUUGUUUGGAUAUUUUUAUUUAUAACACCAACGUGGAUACCACCUGAGGGCAAGUGAAAUUCAAUGUUAAAUUUACUUGAGUAGAUACGCAAGAGAGGGAUUCGUGUCGCGCAUGACCUAAAGCAAGUGUUAGAAACAUACGUUUGAAUAGGUUUAAUAUUUAAUGCGGAAGUUAUAUAUCAAAACAUAUUGAAUCUUUAAAAUAUAAUACUAAUUGUUGGAUUAAUUUUCUACAUCUCUCGUCUUCGUCCAUCUUAAAAUUGUAUCUUCGAACGACUAUGUCGUUAACGGUUCAACAAAUUAUAUUGGAUGCUAAAAAAUUAGUUAUAAGAAUAUCAGAUCAUGAAAAUACUGCUGAUAAUUUAAUUAGCGAUAUGGAAUCUGUCCAUAGUCAGAUUGAUAAUAUGAAACAGUAUCAAGAAGAAGUCGAUAUAUUAAAUACGGAAGCUAAACGAACACCUCAUGUACAACUUAUUGCCGGUAUUCAACGUGAGAAUAGGCAUUUGCUUGAAAUUCAUGCCGAAAAUAAAGAAUUAAGAAACGCUUUGGAAGAUCAUCAAAACGCGCUUGAAUUAAUAAUGUCCAAGUAUAGGCAACAAAUAGCUUCGUUGAUGCGUCUCAGUAAAACAGAUUACUCAUCUUUGCAUAAUACCAAAUAUGCCAACAUAAUUACAAGGCAAGCGGAAAAAAUAAAUGAAAUGGCAGCUGUAAUGAAAACAGCUGCAUCAUUAGAUGAAGAGAAAGAAUGCAAAGAAAUGGAAGCGUUUCAUUGCUUGAAGAAAGAAAAUGAUGGUUUACGAGAGGUUCUUAAUAUCGCUAACAAAUUUGGUUCGCUGAACAAAAACAUUUCGGUUGAAAAUAAGACAGUACAAACUGAUCCGUUAUAACUUUGAAUUUCUAGACCCUUUUGUAUACAGAUUGCACAGUAUUCAUUUUAUACUACAAAUUACAACCAUAUAGCAUAAAUACAGUAAAUAUAUAUAUAAAUAUAAAUAUAUAUAUAAUUCAGGUGGCAAAAGAGCAAUAGGAAACCUAGCGAGUUUAAAAAACAAACGGAAAUACGAAGGAAGCAUUUAACCAGUUAGCUGUGCCGACAUUUUGAAAAGGGUGUGUACCUAAAUUGCGUCGCCAAAACAGAAGAAGGGACGACUAGUAUACUCGUCAAACAUAGAAUAUGUGUAGCUGUUAUAAUAUUGAAUUAAAUUGUAAUCAAAUGAC